UUGACCUCGGAUCAGGUAGGAAUACCCGCUGAACUUAAGCAUAUCAAUAAGCGGAGGAAAAGAAACCAACAGGGAUUGCCCUAGUAACGGCGAGUGAAGCGGCAACAGCUCAAAUUUGAAAUCUGGCCCCAGGCCCGAGUUGUAAUUUGUAGAGGAUGCUUUUGGCGCGGUGCCUUCUGAGUUCCCUGGAACGGGACGCCACAGAGGGUGAGAGCCCCGUAUAGUUGGACACCUAGCCUCUGUAAAGCUCCUUCGACGAGUCGAGUAGUUUGGGAAUGCUGCUCAAAAUGGGAGGUAAAUUUCUUCUAAAGCUAAAUACCGGCCAGAGACCGAUAGCGCACAAGUAGAGUGAUCGAAAGAUGAAAAGCACUUUGAAAAGAGGGUUAAACAGCACGUGAAAUUGUUGAAAGGGAAGCGCUUGUGACCAGACUUGGGCCCUGCAAAUCAUCCGGCGUUCUCGCCGGUGCACUUUGCUGGGUCCAGGCCAGCAUCGGUUUCCCCGGGGGGAUAAAAGCUCUGGGAACGUAACUCCUCCGGGAGUGUUAUAGCCCUCUGCACAAUACCUCCGGGGGGACCGAGGACCGCGCAUCUGCAAGGAUGCUGGCGUAAUGGUCAUCAGCGACCCGUCUUGAAACACGGACCAAGGAGUCGACCAUUAGGGCGAGUGUUUGGGUGUAAAACCCGCACGCGUAAUGAAAGUGAACGUAGGUGAGAGCUUCGGCGCAUCAUCGACCGAUCCUGAUGUUUUCGGAUGGAUUUGAGUAGGAGCCUUAACGGUCGGACCCGAAAGAUGGUGAACUAUGCCUGAAUAGGGUGAAGCCAGAGGAAACUCUGGUGGAGGCUCGCAGCGGUUCUGACGUGCAAAUCGAUCGUCAAAUUUGGGCAUGGGGGCGAAAGACUAAUCGAACCAUCUAGUAGCUGGUUACCGCCGAAGUUUCCCUCAGGAUAGCAGUGUUGUUUUCAGUUUUAUGAGGUAAAGCGAAUGAUUAGGGACUCGGGGGCGCUAUUUAGCCUCCAUCCAUUCUCAAACUUUAAAUAUGUAAGAAGCCCUUGUUGCUUUGUUGAACGUGGGCCUUCGAAUGUAUCAACACUAGUGGGCCAUUUUUGGUAAGCAGAACUGGCGAUGCGGGAUGAACCGAACGCGGGGUUAAGGUGCCGGAGUGGACGCUCAUCAGACACCA
Molecule: ribosomal RNA, 1181 nt
Filed under: Barbatosphaeria arboricola
Lineage: Eukaryota; Fungi; Ascomycota; Sordariomycetes; Barbatosphaeriales; Barbatosphaeriaceae
Description: eukaryotic LSU rRNA
Rfam family: Eukaryotic large subunit ribosomal RNA
Source: RNAcentral